This 459-nucleotide ribosomal RNA is filed under the name uncultured bacterium. Its description in RNAcentral is "bacterial SSU rRNA". It matches the Rfam family "Bacterial small subunit ribosomal RNA", at positions 346 to 796 of the family's 1533-position model. The record is from RNAcentral.
AGGCAGCAGUUGGGAAUCUUCCGCAAUGGGCGAAAGCCUGACGGAGCGACGCCGCGUGAGCGAAGAAGGCCUUCGGGUCGUAAGGCUCUGUUGUGAGGGACGAAGGAGCGCCGUUCGAAGAGGGCGGCGCGGUGACGGUACCUCACGAGGAAGCCCCGGCUAACUACGUGCCAGCAGCCGCGGUAAUACGUAGGGGGCGAGCGUUGUCCGGAAUUAUUGGGCGUAAAGCGCGCGCAGGCGGUUCCUUAAGUCUGAUGUGAAAGCCCACGGCUCAACCGUGGAGGGUCAUUGGAAACUGGGGGACUUGAGUGCAGGAGAAGAGAGCGGAAUUCCACGUGUAGCGGUGAAAUGCGUAGAGAUGUGGAGGAACACCAGUGGCGAAGGCGGCUUUCUGGUCUGUAACUGACGCUGAUGUGCGAAAGCGUGGGGAUCAAACAGGAUUAGAUACCCCAGUAGUCC